GCGACCNCAGGUCAGGCGGGACUACCCGCUG
This 31-nucleotide ribosomal RNA is filed under the name Macaranga schweinfurthii. RNAcentral describes it as "partial 28S ribosomal RNA". The record is from RNAcentral. Lineage: Eukaryota; Viridiplantae; Streptophyta; Magnoliopsida; Malpighiales; Euphorbiaceae.